This 254-nucleotide ribosomal RNA is filed under the name uncultured bacterium. RNAcentral's name for it is "partial 16S ribosomal RNA". It matches the Rfam family "Bacterial small subunit ribosomal RNA", at positions 524 to 776 of the family's 1533-position model. The record is from RNAcentral.
UACGUAGGUGGCAAGCGUUGUCCGGAAUUAUUGGGCGUAAAGAGCUCGUAGGCGGUGUGUCGCGUCGGCCGUGAAAACCUGGGGCUUAACUCUGGGCGUGCGGUCGAUACGGGCAUCACUGGAGUUCGGCAGGGGAGACUGGAAUUCCUGGUGUAGCGGUGAAAUGCGCAGAUAUCAGGAGGAACACCGGUGGCGAAGGCGGGUCUCUGGGCCGUAACUGACGCUGAGGAGCGAAAGCAUGGGGAGCGAACAGG